Molecule: ribosomal RNA, 929 nt
Filed under: uncultured archaeon
Lineage: Archaea
Description: bacterial SSU rRNA
Rfam family: Archaeal small subunit ribosomal RNA
Source: RNAcentral
UUCCGGUGAUCCUGCCGGAGGCAACUGCUAUGGGGUUCGGCUAAGCCAUGCGAGCGGAGGGCGCGGUCGAAAGAUCGUGGCCCCGCACACGGCUCAGCAACACGUAGUCAACCUACCCUUGGGACGGGGACAACCUCGGGAAACUGAGGCUAAUCCCCGAUAGGCGAGGGACGCUGGGAUGCCCUCUCGCCCAAAGCUCUGGCGCCCAAGGACGGGACUGCGACCUAUCAGGCUGUUGGUGGUGUUACGGACCACCAAACCUACGACGGGUACGGGCGAUGGGAGUCGGAGCCCGGAGAUGGGGACUGAGACAAGGCCCCAGGCCCUACGGGGCGCAGCAGGCGCGAAAACUCCGCAAUACGUGCAAGCGUGACGGGGGAAUCCCAAGUGCCGUUGGUCUUUUGAUCGACGGCUUUUCGGAAGUUUAAGACGCUUCCGGAAUAAGGGCUGGGUAAGACUGGUGCCAGCCGCCGCGGUAACACCAGCAGCCCAAGUGGUGGCCACGAUUAUUGGGCCUAAAGCGCUCGUAGCCGGGCCAGCAAGUCCCUUGUGGAAUCGGGCCGCCCAACGGUUCGGCGUGCAAGGGAUACUGUUGGUCUUGAGGCCGGGAGAGGUCAGAGGUACUCCUGGGGUAGCGGUGAAAUGCUCUAAUCCUGGGGGGACCACCAGUGGCGAAGGCGUCCGACCAGAACGGACCUGACGGUGAGGGGCGAAGGCUAGGGGAGCGAACGGGAUUAGAUACCCCGGUAGUCCUAGCUGUAAAGCAUGCGGGCCAGGUGUCUAGCGCUCCUUGAGGGCGCUAGGUGCCGGAGGGAAGCCGUUAAGCCCGCCGCCUGGGAAGUACGGCCGCAAGGCUGAAACUUAAAGAAAUUGGCGGGGGAGCACCACAAGGGGUGGAACCUGCGGUUCAAUUGGAAUCAACGCCGGAA